This 322-nucleotide long non-coding RNA is filed under the name Mytilus galloprovincialis (Mediterranean mussel). The record is from RNAcentral. Lineage: Eukaryota; Metazoa; Mollusca; Bivalvia; Mytilida; Mytilidae.
CCCCUGAACUGGUAAUUUUAGGGAAUUUUUGCUGUUUUUGGCUAUUAUCUUGAAUAUUAUUAUAGAUAGAGAUAAACUGUAAACAGCAAUAAUGUUCAGCAAAGUAAGAUUUACAAAUAAGUCAACAUGACCAAAAUGGUCAGUUGACCCCUUUAGGAGUUAUUGACCUUUAUAGUCAAUUUUUAACCAUUUUUCGUAAAUCUUAGUAAUCUUUUACAAAAAUCUUCUCCUCUGAAACUACUGGACCAAAUUAAUCCAAACUUGGCCACAAUCAUCUUUGGAAUAUCUAGUUUAAAAAAUGUGUGGCGUGACACGGCCAACC